UUGAACGCUGGCGGCAGGCCUAACACCUGCAAGUCGAGCGGAUGAAGGGAGCUUGCUCCUGGAUUCAGCGGCGGACGGGUGAGUAAUGCCUAGGAAUCUGCCUGGUAGUGGGGGAUAACGUCCGGAAACGGGCGCUAAUACCGCAUACGUCCUGAGGGAGAAAGUGGGGGAUCUUCGGACCUCACGCUAUCAGAUGAGCCUAGGUCGGAUUAGCUAGUUGGUGGGGUAAAGGCCUACCAAGGCGACGAUCCGUAACUGGUCUGAGAGGAUGAUCAGUCACACUGGAACUGAGACACGGUCCAGACUCCUACGGGAGGCAGCAGUGGGGAAUAUUGGACAAAGGGCGAAAGCCUGAUCCAGCCAUGCCGCGUGUGUGAAGAAGGUCUUCGGAUUGUAAAGCACUUUAAGUUGGGAGGAAGGGCAGUAAGUUAAUACCUUGCUGUUUUGACGUUACCAACAGAAUAAGCACCAGCUAACUUCGUG
RNAcentral lists this ribosomal RNA (483 nucleotides) under uncultured bacterium. RNAcentral's name for it is "partial 16S ribosomal RNA". It matches the Rfam family "Bacterial small subunit ribosomal RNA", at positions 30 to 507 of the family's 1533-position model. The record is from RNAcentral.